RNAcentral lists this ribosomal RNA (497 nucleotides) under uncultured bacterium. RNAcentral's name for it is "partial 16S ribosomal RNA". It matches the Rfam family "Bacterial small subunit ribosomal RNA", at positions 28 to 507 of the family's 1533-position model. The record is from RNAcentral.
GAUGAACGCUGGCGGCGUGCCUAAUACAUGCAAGUCGAGCGAACGGACGAGAAGCUUGCUUCUCUGAUGUUAGCGGCGGACGGGUGAGUAACACGUGGAUAACCUACCUAUAAGACUGGGAUAACUUCGGGAAACCGGAGCUAAUACCGGAUAAUAUUUUGAACCGCAUGGUUCAAAAGUGAAAGACGGUCUUGCUGUCACUUAUAGAUGGAUCCGCGCUGCAUUAGCUAGUUGGUAAGGUAACGGCUUACCAAGGCAACGAUGCAUAGCCGACCUGAGAGGGUGAUCGGCCACACUGGAACUGAGACACGGUCCAGACUCCUACGGGAGGCAGCAGUAGGGAAGCUUCCGCAAUGGGCGAAAGCCUGACGGAGCAACGCCGCGUGAGUGAUGAAGGUCUUCGGACCGUAAAACUCUGUUAUUAGGGAAGAACAUAUGUGUAAGUAACUGUGCACAUCUUGACGGUACCUAAUCAGAAAGCCACGGCUAACUACGUG